AUUGAACGCUGGCGGCAUGCCUUACACAUGCAAGUCGAACGGCAGCACGGGAGCAAUCCUGGUGGCGAGUGGCGAACGGGUGAGUAAUAUAUCGGAACGUGCCCAGUCGUGGGGGAUAACGCAGCGAAAGCUGUGCUAAUACCGCAUACGAUCUACGGAUGAAAGCGGGGGAUCGCAAGACCUCGCGCGAUUGGAGCGGCCGAUAUCAGAUUAGCUAGUUGGUGGGGUAAAGGCCCACCAAGGCGACGAUCUGUAGCUGGUCUGAGAGGACGACCAGCCACACUGGAACUGAGACACGGUCCAGACUCCUACGGGAGGCAGCAGUGGGGAAUUUUGGACAAUGGGCGCAAGCCUGAUCCAGCAAUGCCGCGUGCAGGAUGAAGGCCUUCGGGUUGUAAACUGCUUUUGUACGGAACGAAACGGCCCUUUCUAAUACAGGGGGCUAAUGACGGUACCGUAAGAAUAAGCACCGGCUAACUACGUGCCAGCAGCCGCCGUAA
This 500-nucleotide ribosomal RNA is filed under the name uncultured bacterium. RNAcentral's name for it is "partial 16S ribosomal RNA". It matches the Rfam family "Bacterial small subunit ribosomal RNA", at positions 30 to 523 of the family's 1533-position model. The record is from RNAcentral.